This 449-nucleotide ribosomal RNA is filed under the name uncultured bacterium. RNAcentral's name for it is "partial 16S ribosomal RNA". It matches the Rfam family "Bacterial small subunit ribosomal RNA", at positions 29 to 523 of the family's 1533-position model. The record is from RNAcentral.
AAUGAACGCUGGCGGCAUGCCUAACACAUGCAAGUCGAACGAAGGCUUCGGCCUGAGUGGCGCACGGGUGCGUAACGCGUGGGAAUCUGCCCUCAGGUUCGGAAUAACAGCGAGAAAUUGCUGCUAAUACCGGGUGAUAUCGCGAGAUCAAAGAUUUAUCGCCUGAGGAUGAGCCCGCGUAGGAUUAGCUAGUUGGUGUGGUAAAGGCGCACCAAGGCGACGAUCCUUAGCUGGUCUGAGAGGAUGAUCAGCCACACUGGGACUGAGACACGGCCCAGACUCCUACGGGAGGCAGCAGUGGGGAAUAUUGGACAAUGGGCGAAAGCCUGAUCCAGCAAUGCCGCGUGAGUGAUGAAGGCCUUAGGGUUGUAAAGCUCUUUUACCCGGGAUGAUAAUGACAGUACCGGGAGAAUAAGCUCCGGCUAACUCCGUGCCAGCCGCCGCAGUAA